Ictalurus punctatus (channel catfish) is the source of this 1044-nucleotide long non-coding RNA. RefSeq lists it as uncharacterized. The transcript has 3 exons. The record is from RefSeq and is a predicted model, not a curated record. Lineage: Eukaryota; Metazoa; Chordata; Actinopteri; Siluriformes; Ictaluridae.
UUUCCCUUAUUACCAUUAACAUGUUCAACCUGGAAGAUAAAUAAUAAUGAAGUGAAAUACUAACUGUGUUUUCUUCAACAACACUGACUUACAGAGUUUUAUUGAAUUAUGAUAAAUGUUUAUAGGUGAUCAUGUUACUAUUGCAUCAGAAACAUCUAAACCAGCUCUGUGUGAUAAUUCAGUGGUGUGUGAACCAACACUGCAUGGAAACAGCACUAACAUGAACACACACGAGAAAACAGGUGAUAUGUCUUAUAAUUCAGAAUUCAAUAUUAAUUAUCCAUAAUUCAUCAAGCAAAAUGUUCCUAGAAAAUAAUUUGCACUAAUGUAAAUGUAAUGUUAUCAGUAACAGAACCGGAAAUGAUCAGAUCUCUACACUCGGCAGUGCUCGGUUUGGGAACGGCUUUGGGUUUGUGCGCACUUCUGAUUUUCUGUCUCAUUUAUUUCAUACUCAGGAGAAGAAAAUGUGAUAAAAUGAAAGCUUGUAUAGAAGAUUCUCCAGGAAUGAAGCAGGAAUCUGAAUCUGAAACACUGAAUUACGCAGCUGUGCAAUUUACCAAGAGGAAAGCCAAAGCUGAAAAAAAGAAAACUGGCUCAGCAGAUGAGUGUGUGUACGCUGAUGUGAAAAAAAACUGUAAGAUGUAACAGAAAUAAUUCAUAACACAUGAUACUAUUACACUGCAACAACAUUGAAAAUAUAUUGACUAAACAAAUAUAUUCCAUAUUUUUCAUUACAAUGAUAUGACAUAUGAUGCGCUAACAAAAAAAAAAACAAUACAAAACAAAACAGAAAAACCUAGAAAUAAUUUUAUAUUUGUUUACACUAAUCUCAUAAUAAUAAUUAUAUUAAAGUCGCCUGUCUUUAAGAUAUUGUUUUAUUUGCAGUGUGGAUAAACUCCUAUGCUACAGGUUUUAUUUCUGUAACUACGGAUGUAUUAACUUCAGUAACAAUGAACUUGUAAAAAAUCCAACUUGUAUGUUUUUUGUUUGUUUUUGGUUUCAGUAAUUUAUUUUUUCACAAUAAAUAUGAAAAGCAAUUCCAUU